AACGAACGCUGGCGGCAGGCUUAACACAUGCAAGUCGAACGCACCUUCGGGUGAGUGGCAGACGGGUGAGUAACGCGUGGGAACCUUCCCUGUGGUACGGAAUAGCUCCGGGAAACUGGAAUUAAUACCGUAUACGCCCUUUUGGGGAAAGAUUUAUCGCCAUAGGAUGGGCCCGCGUCGGAUUAGCUUGUUGGUGAGGUAAAGGCUCACCAAGGCAACGAUCCGUAGCUGGUCUUAGAGGAUGAUCAGCCACACUGGGACUGAGACACGGCCCAGACUCCUACGGGAGGCAGCAGUGGGGAAUAUUGGACAAUGGGCGCAAGCCUGAUCCAGCCAUGCCGCGUGAGUGACGAAGGUCUUAGGGUUGUAAAGCUCUUUUGGCGGGGACGAUAAUGACGGUACCCGCAGAAUAAGCCCCGGCUAACUUCGUG
This 431-nucleotide ribosomal RNA is filed under the name uncultured bacterium. Its description in RNAcentral is "bacterial SSU rRNA". It matches the Rfam family "Bacterial small subunit ribosomal RNA", at positions 29 to 507 of the family's 1533-position model. The record is from RNAcentral.